RNAcentral lists this unclassified non-coding RNA (240 nucleotides) under plant metagenome. RNAcentral describes it as "partial contains small subunit ribosomal RNA, internal transcribed spacer 1, and 5.8S ribosomal RNA". The stretch from base 192 to 240 matches the Rfam family "5.8S ribosomal RNA", at positions 1 to 49 of the family's 154-position model. The record is from RNAcentral.
UCUCCGUAGGUGAACCAGCGGAGGGAUCAUUACAGAGUUCGUGCCCUCACGGGUAGAUCUCCCACCCUGUGUUAUUAUACCUUUGUUGCUUUGGCGGGCCGCCCUCGGCUACCGGCCCCGGCUGGUACGCGCCCGCCAGAGGACCCCAAACUCUGAAUGUUAGUGUCGUCUGAGUACUAUACAAUAGUUAAAACUUUCAACAACGGAUCUCUUGGUUCUGACAUCGAUGAAGAACGCAGC